RNAcentral lists this ribosomal RNA (252 nucleotides) under uncultured bacterium. RNAcentral's name for it is "partial 16S ribosomal RNA". It matches the Rfam family "Bacterial small subunit ribosomal RNA", at positions 526 to 779 of the family's 1533-position model. The record is from RNAcentral.
CGUAGGUGGCAAGCGUUAUCCGGAUUAUUGGGCGUAAAGAGAGUGCAGGCGGUUUCUAAGUCUGAUGUGAAAGCCUUCGGCUUAACCGGAGAAGUGCAUCGGAAACUGGAUAACUUGAGUGCAGAAGAGGGUAGUGGAACUCCAUGUGUAGCGGUGGAAUGCGUAGAUAUAUGGAAGAACACCAGUGGCGAAGGCGGCUACCUGGUCUGCAACUGACGCUGAGACUCGAAAGCAUGGGUAGCGAACAGGAUU